This is a long non-coding RNA of Tetranychus urticae (two-spotted spider mite), 476 nucleotides long. RefSeq lists it as uncharacterized. The record is from RefSeq and is a predicted model, not a curated record. NCBI's taxonomy places the organism in Eukaryota, Metazoa, Arthropoda, Arachnida, Trombidiformes, Tetranychidae.
UGCAAAGGUUUGCUUUCCAUUCAAACAUAAACGUUCUAGUUCUAAAGCAAUUGCAAUUUCUUUUUGCUGAAAAUGAAUCUUUCAUACGUAUGUUUUUUACUUAUGUACUUCGUAUUUUUCAUAAUUGGCAGCGCAUCGUCGCAAAACUGUUACUCUAACCCGGAGGCUUGUCAGAAAGGCGAAUGUUGUGUAAAAGUCCAAACAAUUGUUGGAAAGUGCAAGAAAUUAAAGGAAGUGAACAAUUAUUGUAACAUAAAGUCAAUUGGGGAAAUGGGUAAGAAACAUGUAUAUCAGGGUGCGUGUCCAUGUCAAGAAGGUCUUGAAUGUGUGGCCAAAGAUGGUAUAGUCGGAGAGGUAAUGGGAACAUGUAAAAAAAUAAAUGAUACAGAUUAAUUUUGAAAUCAUACCAUAUUGAUAAAGUGAAUAUUAAACACGUACGGAUAAUGUAAUAAACCGAAAUACUUUAACUAAAAGAA